AUUGAACGCUGGCGGCGUGCCUAACACAUGCAAGUCGAGCGGUAACAGGUGUAGCAAUACAUGCUGACGAGCGGCGAACGGGUGAGUAAUGCUUUGGAAUCUUCCCAGUAGUGGGGAAUAACCAGUCGAAAGAUUGGCUAAUACCGCAUACGCCUGUAAAGGGAAAGCGGGGGCUCGUAAGACCUCGCGCUAUUGGAUGAGCCAAAGUCGGAUUAGCUAGUUGGGGGGUAAUGGCCUACCAAGGCGACAAUCCGUAGCUGGUCUGAGAGGACGACCAGCCACACCGGAACUGAGACACGGUCCGGACUCCUACGGGAGGCAGCAGUGGGGAAUAUUGGACAAUGGGGGAAACCCUGAUCCAGCGACGCCGCGUGUGUGAAGAAGGCCUACGGGUUGUAAAGCACUUUUAGUGGGGACAAAAAGCUACGGAUUAAUACUCUGUGGUCUUGAUUUAACCCAAAG
RNAcentral lists this ribosomal RNA (462 nucleotides) under uncultured bacterium. RNAcentral describes it as "bacterial SSU rRNA". It matches the Rfam family "Bacterial small subunit ribosomal RNA", at positions 30 to 484 of the family's 1533-position model. The record is from RNAcentral.